This 497-nucleotide ribosomal RNA is filed under the name uncultured bacterium. RNAcentral's name for it is "partial 16S ribosomal RNA". It matches the Rfam family "Bacterial small subunit ribosomal RNA", at positions 28 to 507 of the family's 1533-position model. The record is from RNAcentral.
GAUGAACGCUGGCGGCGUGCCUAAUACAUGCAAGUCGAGCGAACAGACGAGGAUCUUUCUCCUCUGACGUUAGCGGCGGACGGGUGAGUAACACGUGUAUAACCUACCUAUAAUACUGGGAUAACUUCGGGAAACCGGAGCUAAUACCGGAUAAUAUAUUGAACCGCAUGGUUCAAUAGUGAAAUACGGUUUUUCUGUCUCUUAUAGAUGGAUCCGCGCCGCAUUAGCUAGUUGGUAAGGUAACGGCUUACCAAGGCAACGAUGCGUAGCCGACCUGAGAGGGUGAACGGCCAAACUGGAACUGAGACACGGUCAAGAAUCCUACGGGAGGCAGCAGUAGGGAAUCUUCCGCAAUGGGCGAAAGCCUGACGGAGCAACGCCGCGUGAGUGAUGAAGGUCUUCGGAUCGUAAAACUCUGUUAUUAGGGAAGAAAAAAUGUGUAAGUAACUAUGCACGUCUUGACGGUACCUAAUCAGAAAGCAACGGCUAACUACGUG